CAAGAAUAAAUUGGUCAGAUUAUGAAAAAGAAAGCACUUUUCACUGUCCACCAGUGAAACAUGCAAUCAGAUGGAAGGGCUGGGAAAGAUAGGAGAAUAAAUAUGUCACUUUCUAAAUUUCAUGCUGUAAGCCGUCUGCAGAGACGGUCCAACCGUCAGGCAAUUUAGGCAUUUGCCUGUGGCGCCACACCCCUGGGGGCGCUGUUGAGGCCCCCGGGGGGUGGCGCCACCCCCACCCCCCCCCCGCCUCCUUUACCUUCGGGACAGGCCUUCCAACCGCGGUCUGGCCCUUGCUGUCCCGGCCUGACUGCCUGGACCUUGCCACCAUGCAGCCAGGCUGCAUGGGAGGCAUGGCCACGCCUCCACGCUACCUGGCCACGCCUCCCACACCAUGCGGCCUGGCCACGCCCCCCAUGCCAAGACACCUCCUCCCAGGGCAACAGCAGGUCGCCAGGCCAUGCCCUCCGCAUGCAACAGGUCGGACAAAAACAGAUCAGAGCCUCAAUGAAGCCAAGACACAAAACAGAACAAGCUAAACCUCUCCCAAAUGGGCUGGCUGCAGUAUGGAGCAAAACAACAUGAACUCUACUAUCAAAAAUGGUUACAAAAGGCUGAAAACAUGUGAAAGAAUAGAAGACCCUAACAAUGCCUUCCAAACAGGUUUUUUUUUCUUUUUCAAGGAAAAAUUGAAGGUCUUGGGAAUUUAGUGCAGUAGUAAUAAAAAGCAAGAAAAAUGAAGCUAAUUUGCAUUUUAUUAUGUCUGUACUAUUGUGUAUCUUAAAAUUGCAUUUAAUUCUUUGCAAAGUCCUGAAAGUAUAUAUUCUCAAUCAUAGUUGAAGAUUUUUGUAUGCACUGCUGGAUUAUCUAUAUAUACAUUGUUCUUUCUGAAUAGCUUUAAAAUAUUUUUUUCAAUUUUCCUGCAUGCAUCUGAUAUCAAAUCUAUUCACAGUAUCAUACAACAGCUUUGUAGAAGUUAUUUAGGCUUCAAUAUAAUCAUGUUGCUUCAUCCUUAUGGUGUUCCCUUCAAUGCUUCGUUCUUCACAGUUCUCUUAGUUUAUUUUCAUUUAAAUAAAGUAUAGUACAAUGGAGUCAGGAUACAUCUGACAAGAAAAUAUACACAUUUUUAUUAAUUUUGGGAUAAUUGUUAAUUUGCAUAAUUUGUUAAUAACAGCUGCUUUGCCAUUUUUACAUUUAUUGAGAGCCAUUUCCAAUUCAGUAGAUGUAAAAAGUUCAUAAGAGGCAAAAGAUAAUAGUGAUGAAGCAACACCUUAAUGAAGGUGCUGCUAAUUGAUCCAUUGACCCAGGUCUGAUGGAAAUGACUCCCUUGCCAGCACUGAAAAGACAAUAGUCUUCAUACAAAGAAAUUAUAAACACUCUUAAAGAGAGGCCUCGCAGUCCACAUUAAUCAGCAAAAGUUG
Molecule: long non-coding RNA, 1418 nt
Filed under: Anolis carolinensis (green anole)
Lineage: Eukaryota; Metazoa; Chordata; Lepidosauria; Squamata; Anolidae
Description: lncRNA (ENSACAG00000030040.2)
Source: RNAcentral